This 292-nucleotide ribosomal RNA is filed under the name uncultured bacterium. Its description in RNAcentral is "partial 16S ribosomal RNA". It matches the Rfam family "Bacterial small subunit ribosomal RNA", at positions 505 to 796 of the family's 1533-position model. The record is from RNAcentral.
GUGUCAGCAGCCGCGGUAAUACGUAGGUGGCGAGCGUUGUCCGGAUUUACUGGGCGUAAAGAGCGCGCAGGCGGUCGGAUUAGUCGAGUGUGAAAGCCCCCGGCUCAACUGGGGAGGGUCACUCGAUACUGUUCGACUUGAAGACGGGAGAGGGACGCGGAAUUCCCGGUGUAGUGGUGAAAUGCGUAGAUAUCGGGAGGAACACCAGUGGCGAAGGCGGCGUUCUGGCCCGCUCUUGACGCUGAGGCGCGAAAGCCAGGGGAGCAAACGGGAUUAGAAACCCUAGUAGUCC